This 84-nucleotide transfer RNA is filed under the name Felis catus (domestic cat). It matches the Rfam family "tRNA". Rfam says of the family: Transfer RNA (tRNA) molecules are approximately 80 nucleotides in length. Their secondary structure includes four short double-helical elements and three loops (D, anti-codon, and T loops). Lineage: Eukaryota; Metazoa; Chordata; Mammalia; Carnivora; Felidae. RNAcentral also lists the same sequence under 2 other names. The record is from Rfam by way of RNAcentral.
GCCUGGGUGGCUCAGUCGGUUAAGCGUCUGACUUUGGCUCAGGUCAUGAUCUCACAGUUCGUGAGUUCGAGCCCACAUCGGGCU